Molecule: long non-coding RNA, 967 nt
Organism: Herpailurus yagouaroundi (jaguarundi)
Lineage: Eukaryota; Metazoa; Chordata; Mammalia; Carnivora; Felidae
Exons: 4
Source: RefSeq, a predicted model, not a curated record
AAAGGAAUGCCCGUGAACUACAGCAAUCUUAGAUGCCCAGGUUACAUUAUCCGAACAGCCCUGAGGCUGAACUGAAGGAAGUCCUCCAGCCUUCGCAGGGGAAAUCUGACACAGCUAGAAAGCAAUGGAAAACACUAAGCGUUGCAUCAGAUGUUGAAGAGGAACUGAUCAUACCGUGGAGAUAAAAAUGAUCUCUUUAAGGAGGAUUUCAAAAAUCUGGUUAUUUCAAGGUGCCUGAUAGGAUUGACCCCAUGAACAGACCCUGCCAAUGAAUUGUGAGAGGAAAUGGGAGUAUUACUUUCGGGCUCAAUAAUGAGUUGCUAGAAUGGGACACUCCUGAAUGCUCUCUUCCUGUGCCACGAGGAGCAGCCAUGUUCCAGGUGAUGGCCGCUCUGUCAAUGUAGAUCCUGCAGAGAUGACAUGGGGUAGAUCCCCCAGUUGACUCAUGAGAGACCAAGCAAGAAAUACAGAUUUGUUGUAUUAAUCCACUGAGAUUGUGGGGGGUCACCAUGAAGCACAACCGAUCCUUUUUUGGCACAAAGAUCAGACAUGAGAAUCACGUGCAAUUAUAAACAUCGGAUGGAGAGGUUCUAACAACAUUAAAGCACUCUACCCAAAGAAGGAAUUAGCAUCCCUGAAUUAGUAGGUUUGGGAGUGAUACACUCCUGUCUCAACUGGAACAGUCCAAGAGGUAGCUUCCUGCAACAUCUCCAGCUCUGAUUCCUGCUCAAGGUUAUGCUCCUGAUGGUUGCGCUGCUGGAAAGAUGAGACAAACCACCUGGGGUUGAAAGUCUGUGCUUCAGAGCCGCCAAGGAUGGGGUGGGCUUUCCAAAUGGCUUCUUCAGUUGAGCUGAAGGCCCAGAAUGUAAUGUUUGUUUAUGUGCCAUGCCAGUUUAGACUCUCCUGAAAGUGUGUGUAUGUGUAUAUGAGGGUGUGAGAGCGAAUACACACAUGCGUUUAACUUGCA